GUCCGGAAUCAUUGGGCGUAAAGAGUUCGUAGGCGGCAUGUAAAGUCAGGUGUUAAAGGCUGAGGCUCAACCUCAGUAUGGCACUUGAUACUUGCAAGCUAGAAUGCGGUAGAGGUAAAGGGAAUUCCUGGUGUAGCGGUGAAAUGCUUAGAUAUCAGGAGGAACAUCGGUGGCGUAAGCGCUUUACUGGGCCGUAAUUGACGCUGAGGAACGAAAGCCAGGGUAGCAAAUGGGAUUAGAUACCCCAGUAGUCCUGGCCGUAAACGAUGGGUACUAGGUGUUGCGGGUAUCGACCCCUGCAGUGCCGCAGCAAACGCGUUAAGUAUCCCGCCUGGGGAGUACGCACGCAAGUGUGAAACUCAAAGGAAUUGACGGGGACCCGCACAAGCGGUGGAACAUGUGGUUUAAUUCGAAGCAACGCGAAAAACCUUACCAGGGCUUGACAUCUGACGAAUCUGGAUGAAAGUUCGGAGUGCUCUUCGGAGAGCGUCAAGACAGGUGGUGCACGGUUGUCGUCAGCUCGUGUCGUGAGAUGUUGGGUUAAGUCCCGCAACGAGCGCAACCCUCGUCGUUAGUUGGUGUUAUCGGUACACUGAUAAUAACCUCUCUAGCGAGACUGCCGGUGAUAAACCGGAGGAAGGUGAGGACGACGUCAAAUCAUCAUGCCCCUUAUGCUCUGGGCUACACACGUGUUACAAUGGUUAGGACAGCGAGCAGCGAACCUGUGAGGGUAAGCAAAUCUCUAAAACCUAGCCUCAGUUCGGAUUGCAGUCUGCAACUCGAGUGCAUGAAGUCGGAAUCGCUAGUAAACGCAGAUCAGCACGCUGCGUUGAAUACGUUCCCGGGUCUUGUACACACCGCCC
This 863-nucleotide ribosomal RNA is filed under the name human gut metagenome. Its description in RNAcentral is "bacterial SSU rRNA". It matches the Rfam family "Bacterial small subunit ribosomal RNA", at positions 543 to 1395 of the family's 1533-position model. The record is from RNAcentral.